UAUACAGACGUAAGAGUGCCGUACAAACCAAUGAAAAUUUUCGGUACCAUGUUUUCUUCUUUUUCUUUGAGAAUGAAUUUUCCGAGGGGACUAAUAAUUACCAUUUUUACGUGGUUUUUAUGCAUCAGAUUACCCCUCUUCGCCAAAUUUUGACAGUUUCUCCAAUAUUUCGCCCGCUUCGCCUCGGUCACCAAGCAAUGUUUUGUUUAUGUUUAAAAAUCAUGGUGCGCGGUCGGGUAAACUUUCGGCAGUACAUUUUUGUGCGCUCGAGAAAAUGCUGUAGAAAGUAGAGGCAUAGAUCAUCAUCCUAGAAAAAUUUUCUGCUUUAGUUAAAUAUGCGCGACCAGCGAAAGCCGGAAAAGAUUUUACCGAAAGCGAUUAUUAUAAUAAAUAAAUUACAAAUUUAUCGCCGUCGGGAAUGAUUCUUCUGUUGGAUCCAGCAGAGGACAUAGGGCACAAAACAGAUAAUCCCGGAAAGACCGAAAUCCGGAUAGUACGCGGAUAAAAUAUAUCGCCCCUCUUUUCAUAAACAACAACUCGGCGAGCUUCGUCCAUGGUGGUUUGGACACGAAGGCACACUGGUGAUCGGCCACAAAUAGAUUCAUAACAAGAUCCAGCAGUUAAACUUUCGCGAUUGUCAUGCCAAGAUUAACCAGGUGGAUUCGUAGGCUACCGUCGGCACCGUAUCACGCAAUCCUUUGUGCUGGCCGUCCAAUCGCCGAAUAAGUAUUACUUCCAUAAUGAUAUCUUCCAGUAUCAGGACAUUGACUCCGACGACGAACUCGAUGAGAAUGAUCGUUCCGGAGAGGAUGGGGGAAAGUGGAUGCCAACAAUGCCGUGGAAGAUCAGCAGCAGUUGUAGCAGGCGAACGCUGUUGCUGCACCAAAACGUACGACAAUCUGGUCAAAUCCGGAUGUGUUGGCUUUUGUUUCGUCCUAUCACCACCACCAGCUGCAAUCCUACCAUCAGUCGAGAGGAUACAGCAACGUGCCAGCCGGACGUCCAUUAGUGAUGUCCCCUUCGCCGUCGUUGCAAAGCCUCCAGUUCUUGGUCCAGUUCAUACAAUGGCGGACCCAUCAAUACCGUAUAUUCUAUCUACUGGUGGUAGACUGGGUGGCAAGUACGAUUGUGGCCAACAGCAAAAGUCAUCACAGCAGCAGCAGCAUGGGUCAGGGACAUAUGCCACAGCGGAUGCAAAACAAACAGGACCGAUCCGGGACAAUGGUGACUCAACCAGUUGUAGUGGACAGAGCACGACCAAAUAACAUAAUAGCCGACCAAGCUAUCAGGAGCUACAUCAGCGACGGCGAAGUUUAUUUACAGCUAAAAUCUAGUAAUCGGGACAUCUAUCAGAAGCUGUAAAUCGCAAUUUAGCUGAAAAGUUACCGGUUCGUUCUGUAGCUUGAAUCGGAAAUUCAGCAAGGAAACAGAAGAUAAGCUUACGGCCACCGAAAAAAAAAACACAGGACCUCAGUGAUCCCUGACAUGGUGAUGAUUUCCAUCGUGUUGAACUCAAAUCCUCUCCUGGAUAGCAGCCAAUUUCACAUCGGCCAUCGGAAACCUCGGAAACACAACGAAUUUGUUGCCACCGUCAAAUGCACCAUCCUUACCACAAAGCGAUGCACCCGGGAAUGCCCCAUGAGAGUGUUGGCAACAAAAAGCAAAUGAGGGAUGACAUUCCGAUAAGCCUUCCGGUGGUUCCUCCAAUAUUCGUCUAUUCAAUUGUCCCGGAUUGAACGUGGGGCAUAUACCAGCGUCUAUGUAUAUUCCGUAGUGAAGCAUGUUACGAUCGAUCACGUUCCACGUUGUCGGAAGUGAAACAACAAAACGAGGCAUUCCCUGACAACCAUGGAUGGUAUGUAUUCAGCAAUCACUCCGGGAUCAAAUCAACUGUCAGUUCAAGGAUAUUUCUUGGAGGAACUAAUCCGUCGUCAAACAGAAAUCUCGAUUAUCGUUACAUCCAGAAUACCCACCUACGCUAUAAUUUCAAAUGUAGUUACUAUAAUCAUACAGGUAUUAUAAUUGUUACAGAAUAUUCAAUAAAUAAUAUGGGGCGCUUGGGUCGGCAGGCGAUUUUGUUGUACCAUAUCCGAAAAAAUCAUAUCACGUCCUCCCGAAUUGCAUGGUCAUGCAAGAAAUUUACUAAAAAUUUGCACUCGAAGUCGAGUCAAGUACAAGACACUGAAGACGACCUUACAGUUGAGGUCGAAAUACGUAUCUGUCAAAAGAUGCAAAUUUUUAGUGGAAUUCAAAGGAACAGUACUUAACACGAUUUUCCUUUUUACUUACAGAUAUUCCCCUAACAAGCCCAGGUUAAUCAUCAUCAAGAAAUUUACUUUUGAAACAGUUCACUUCUGAAACUGUUCCAGAGGUCCCAGAAGAUUCCAAAUGUCCCAGAAUAUUUGAUCUAAUAAGGUUCACCAGAUCAUCCCGAAUUGCA
This is a long non-coding RNA of Aedes albopictus (Asian tiger mosquito), 2440 nucleotides long. RefSeq lists it as uncharacterized. The record is from RefSeq and is a predicted model, not a curated record. Lineage: Eukaryota; Metazoa; Arthropoda; Insecta; Diptera; Culicidae. The transcript is spliced from 5 exons.